This 436-nucleotide long non-coding RNA is filed under the name Triticum aestivum (bread wheat). RNAcentral describes it as "long non-coding RNA (TAES_LNC010616)". The record is from RNAcentral. Lineage: Eukaryota; Viridiplantae; Streptophyta; Magnoliopsida; Poales; Poaceae.
UGGACAUUACUUUGGAGGGCAGAGCUGGCGUCAUAAGCUGCCUGGCUCGCAUCCCGGAUUGUCUUCAGCUGCUCCAUCAUGAGUCCUGCCUGGCGUAUUGCCUCCUUCGCUGCACCAGCUUGGUCCUCUGGGACGUGGUGAGUCGUGAAGAGGGAGGGCUGCUGAGCACUCGUCAGUGGGGUCGCGAAGGUCACCGUGUGUCGAGUGGUGUUCUCUUCCUCCACAGUCAGAAUUUCAGGCGCUGACACAUCCUGAGGCACCUUACUGGCGGGCGCUUUUCGACUCCUCCUGUGCUUCAGCGGCUCUUCAUCCUCAUCAUCAUCAGGAAGAUCGAUAACAGUGUUGGGUGGAGCUGCGGAGAAGGGUCAGGAUCAGAGAUCACGAGUCAGUCGACUAAGAAUGGUAUUAAGAGCACAGUACCUGGAUUCGAAGUUGC